Long non-coding RNA from Ornithorhynchus anatinus (platypus), 507 nucleotides. RefSeq lists it as uncharacterized. The transcript has 3 exons. The record is from RefSeq and is a predicted model, not a curated record. NCBI's taxonomy places the organism in Eukaryota, Metazoa, Chordata, Mammalia, Monotremata, Ornithorhynchidae.
CUUAUAGUCUAGAGGGGACACAGUGAAACAGAGCCUCAGGCUGCGUCUCUGUCUGAAAACUCCAAGUCGGAGGUUUCGGCUAGAGGAACGUGGCACGCUGAAGGCGAGGCCGACGCGGCUCCUUUUGAGCGGAAACGUUGAAGAAACUGUGAGGCAAGAAGGCCCCGCGAUGACGGCUCCUGCCACGCUCGCGUGUGCACAGCGAUGAAAUGCAUCAUCAGUGGCGUUUUCUCCUAGCACGAAAGACAACUAUAUGAAGUGCAAAUCUACGGACGUACAUAUACGAGCCAAGCACACAGUUUUCGCUCGCAGAGACCCUAUCUUGUCUUGACGGCAGUGUUAUCGCCUCAGAAACUGGCUCCCAGUUUGCAGUUUGAGAUGCAUUAUUGUGUGAGGCUUUGCUUUGCCUCGUCUUAAGCCGUCGAGUCGUUCCCGACUCAAAACGACACCACGGACACAUCUCUCACAGAAGGCCCCGCUCUCCAUCUGCAGUUGUUCCGGUAUGGA